UCACGGGAGCCUCCCGUCCCCAGGGCCGCUCCUGCCCGCUGCCCACCGGGAGGGCCAGCGUCCGGGCGCUGCCGAGGUCCCCGACCCCGCGGUGGGGAGCCAGGCCCUCCGCGGGCCCGACGGGAGUGGGCAAGGCGAGGGGCGGGAGCCGACCGCUGUUUGCUCGGCCUUUUCCCGGGGCUGGCGUUGUGGUGUUGGUUCUUUCUCUUUUGAGGUACUUCAGUGAAAAAGCAUCAAUUAGCUAGAGGACUGGUACCACAUACCCCCUGUAAUGAGAGAACGUUUUCGUAUGUAAGUGAACUGUAUCUCAGCUGGAAGCUUUUCAGCAGAAGUCUUACCUGUCAGAUCUCUGGAUUGCCACCAUCUUCUCCUUUCCUGUUAUUGUCAGUGUCACAGAGCAUGAAAACAAAAAUCCAUACUGAGGACUUCUCGCCACUGUCUUUCUGACUUACAGAGAAGGUGCCCUGUAUGUUUGGGAUGAUGUUUCCAGGGAGGAAGCAAUGAGUGAAUCAUGAGGAGCCCUGCAGCCUGCUCCCCUGCUGUUCCCUGCCUUUCACCAGAUGUUGGUGAGAACAUGAAACUCUUCAGUGAGACAUCUCAAAAUUUCUUCCCCGUUUGAAGGUAGAAGUGCUGCAGCUGCAUUACUGCAUCUCCACCUGUUGCACACUUACUUGGGUCAGACAGAAAGUGGGGGCGGGAUUAAAAAGUGUGAUAAGACACCUUAAGGAGGGUCAGCCUGGAGCAGUUACUGCUCACAGCCCAGAAUGGCAGGGAGUAGACAGCGCCUAGCGCCUCUGCAGCCUUGCCUGCAGCUGGAACUGUUGAUGGCCAAAACACCCCACAAAGAAAAGACCUCAAGACCUGUUGCUCUACAUCUU
This is a long non-coding RNA of Calidris pugnax (ruff), 878 nucleotides long. RefSeq lists it as uncharacterized. The transcript is spliced from 3 exons. Lineage: Eukaryota; Metazoa; Chordata; Aves; Charadriiformes; Scolopacidae. The record is from RefSeq and is a predicted model, not a curated record.